UGAAUAUAUAUUAAUCAAUUAGCAAAAAAUGUGUGGGUGCAACGUUCCGCAUCGACAAAAAUAUUUAGACAAUGAUUUAUAAACAUAUCAUAAAUAAGAUCAAUAUUAAUAUAAAUAAAUGGUUUUUUUACGGGACGGGUUUGGCGGGAUGGGUUUGGCAGGACGUUACUUAAUAACAAUUGUAAACUAUAAAAUAAAAAUAUAUUAUAAAUAGAUACAAUUUGCAAAAAAAAAGUUAUACGAACUUUAAAAAGAUAAAUUGUUACCGCGGUGUACCGCGGGAUAAAAUCUAGUCUCUAUAGAUAUUCAGAGCAAUAAUUGUAUUCAACAGUAAACUAAUCUAUACUAUAUAAAAAGAAAAUCCAAAACCUCAGAAAUUAAAUCUUAAAAUUGUCA
This 396-nucleotide small RNA is filed under the name Arabidopsis thaliana (thale cress). Its description in RNAcentral is "ATSL174260". The record is from RNAcentral. Lineage: Eukaryota; Viridiplantae; Streptophyta; Magnoliopsida; Brassicales; Brassicaceae.